Panicum virgatum (switchgrass) is the source of this 456-nucleotide long non-coding RNA. RefSeq lists it as uncharacterized. The record is from RefSeq and is a predicted model, not a curated record. The transcript is spliced from 3 exons. NCBI's taxonomy places the organism in Eukaryota, Viridiplantae, Streptophyta, Magnoliopsida, Poales, Poaceae.
AGCAGGUUGAAGAGGCAUCCUGAUCCUACGUGAGGUGCUCCGGGUUUCUCGCGGUAUGCUGGAAAUGGAGACACGUUGAUCACAUCAAGCUAGUCGUUAAGCAAGCAAUGAUGCUGACAACAUGAGGUUUAUGUGGGCAUGGCACCACUUUCCAACUCUGUCACCUCAUGCACACGACACAAGGGGAGAGGGUUCCAAGUGAAGAGAAAGAUGCUUCAUGUGUUUUUUGAAGACUUUUUGUAUUUUUGGAGGCUGCAUGAGAUAGACAAUCUUAACUAAUAUGUGUACACAUGCGUAGUCACCGCCCAACUACAUGUAUAUCUAAUCCAGGGAACUUGCUAUUCAGUAUUAUGUACUUUUUUUCAGCGGUUCCUCAGAUUAUUGAUGAAUGGUUUCCCCAGUAACACACCAUGUACAUACUUCAUUUCAGUAACAGGGACAUCCAGUUAUUCAGUA